UCCUCUUUGUUGUUGUUGAGGUUGGGUUGCUGGAAUAGUCACAGCAGUAACUUGACGGUAUUGUUGUCCUCUGUUUCCACUUCUCUAAUUAUGUAUAGCAUUUGUCUCACCCUCUCUCCUUCUGGGUGCCCCUGAAAAUGGUUUCUUAGCACUUGAAGAACUUGAAGAACCAGGGUCUUGGAUUUUUCCCGCUUUGAUAAGACUUUUAGUUCUUUCUCC
This 219-nucleotide long non-coding RNA is filed under the name Lathyrus oleraceus (garden pea). RNAcentral's name for it is "Pisum sativum (pea) long non-coding RNA (PSAT_LNC027377)". The record is from RNAcentral. Lineage: Eukaryota; Viridiplantae; Streptophyta; Magnoliopsida; Fabales; Fabaceae.